AGUUUGUUAUCGUUUCAGAGGAUACGACGAUUUCUGCAAACUUCAUAAAAUAGUAGAACCUAAUUGGAAGAAAAGAUAGUAUCAAGAAGAAUAUUAAGCGAAUCCUUGAAUAACUACGAUAUUAAAAGCAGAAGUCAACAAGUUUCAAUUAUCUAAACAAAACAACUUGCAAAUAGCGUUUGCUCUACAAACAGUGGAUCGCGAGUCGCGGUUGAAACGUGCGCAAACAUCGUCUCGGGAGGAUACCGAGGAGCCUUCAGAAAAGCUCGUAGACGUUGCUGAGGAUGUCGUAACUCAUCAUUCGCCUAUUGACACCUGUUCAAACGCGGUGGCUGGUGAAGGGACGGCAAAGGUCGCGAUCGAAAAGAGUCGCGUUCACGGGAAUCGCCGUGUCACCCACACACGUCGUUGGCCUCUUGUUAAGGAAGCCGCAAUUUAACAGGAGCGGGAUAAUACGACGAAGAAGGAAAGGACGGGGAGUCUCCUUAAAGCCUACGCGGCUAGGUCGGCCCACUUGAGAAGGCUCGAAUGCGUCGAGCACACUCUGAGAUGCAUGAUCGAAAGGACAGGGGUAGGCGCUAAGAAUGACCUGCCUACGAUCGUCUAAUUAGGCGUAAACCGCGUUCCUCGUGUUCCUUAUGCGUUGCCAAGCCGGCAGAAUAUGGUUCCGUGGAUGAUCUGCGUGAACCGACACGUGGGCUACAGGAUAUUAAUCGUCGCGGGAACAAGAGACUUGUUAGGCGCGGGUCGAACGACUUAUCUUUCAAGAUCGCAACUAGAAUAUGUUUUAUAUUUGAUUAACUACAGGGCUAACCUUUGACUAUCUAUCGAAUAGUUUU
Molecule: unclassified non-coding RNA, 839 nt
Filed under: Bombus terrestris (buff-tailed bumblebee)
Lineage: Eukaryota; Metazoa; Arthropoda; Insecta; Hymenoptera; Apidae
Description: misc RNA ENSBTSG00005028727.1
Source: RNAcentral